Magallana angulata is the source of this 1687-nucleotide long non-coding RNA. RefSeq lists it as uncharacterized. NCBI's taxonomy places the organism in Eukaryota, Metazoa, Mollusca, Bivalvia, Ostreida, Ostreidae. The record is from RefSeq and is a predicted model, not a curated record. The transcript is spliced from 3 exons.
ACAUGCCAACUAUCCCGAUUUUUGCGGGAUUCUCCCGAUUUCACGUCAUCAAAAAUACAAAUCCCGAUAUCCCGAUCGGGAUUGUCAAAAUACCUCGAAAUCCCGAUUCUCAAAAAGUCCAACCCGUUUUACGACAAUAAGUCCCGAUUUCCAUCUAAAAUUUCAAAUCCCGCGCUGCUUGUCUACGCUAACCAAUCAAAAAGCGGGAUUAUGACCGCCAUUGCUGUUUACCUGUAUCGCGUGUGUGUAUAUCGGUGUAAUUACCUGUACGCUACCUGUGUCUGGGUGCUUGCAAACCUAAUGGGGAGCAUGUUUUGAUAGUAAUUAAUCGGGAAGUAUCGGGAUGGAUAGCGAAAUGCCACACUUUUUACACAAACUUCGACAAGAAUGGGGUUACACCACCAAAGAAAACGAAACUUUCAUCCCAAUAUCGGGAGGCAGAUUCCCGAUUUUCGUGAUGACUAUCGGGAUUGUAAUUGGAUGACAACCAUGUAUAUUGCCGUGCAAUAGGGAUUUUAGGGUAGACCAUGGUGGAAUGAAUGAUGUUACAAAGAACACGAAAAACAGCCAUUCAUCAAGCCACCUGCUGCUACCAACUUGUUUGUGAAAUCAAAAUUGGAGUAAGAUGAAGAUGUCACAAGAGCAGAGGUCCUGUUUGCCAACUGCGUUGCAGAAUUUAGUGCUUUUUGAACUGCUAUACCAUACUAUUUAUUGUUUGUGGAGAUUUCAAAGAUUGAUUUAAUAUAUGAAAAUAAAGUUAUGAACUUUAUUUAUGAUUUCAUUUGAAAGAGGAGAUUGUUUGAUAAACACAUUAGGAUAAUGAUAAAUAGAUAAAGAAACAGAUGAAUUUCUAAGAGUUCAAUUGUUUAUACAAAGCAAUUACACAACAAAAUGCCGCGAAAUUUCCUUCAAGGAAAAUGUCGUCGCGCGUAAAAUCCCCCAUGGAGAUUUUCAAAAGUUGGCAUGUAUGGCUCUAAUAUAUUCUGUUUGUCUGCAAAACAGUUUUUCCUAUUUCACUGAAAAAAUACAAAAAAAUUCGUAUAAAAUAACUGAAAGCCGAUAUUGAUCUCUGUUUUGUGGAAUCAUGUUUCAAAAAAGAUUCUCUAUCGAUCCAUAAAAUAAAAUUUUGGUGUGUCGAGGAACCUUAAUUAGACAAUUUUCAAAAAAUGACUUUUAGGUAGGUGGCUAGACAAUGCUAUCGUUCACAGUCCUUUAUAAAUCAUUCACUCACACACCCGUACAUUUCAUUAUUCACUUUAUUUCAUUGUUUAUUAGUUAUUUCAUUGUUUAUUAGUAAUGGAUCAUAUUUGACUUGUAUUGGUGAUCUGUCCAUGGUCGUGUAUUUUGGUGUGAUGGUUACCAUAUAUGGUGAUAACUAUAUUAUGUCUAUAUUUGGAAGUUAAUGGUUAAACAAUUUCUAUACAUGUGUGGAUUAGUCAGUGUGCAAGUCUGCUUUUAACAUCUUGUUUGUUUUGCACAAUGAUUUAAAAAAUUACAACUUGUUUGCCUGUAGUAAUACUGUCUAAUUAAUUAAAAUCAACACAGCUGUUUCAAAUUUUUUUUAUCAUUCGAAGGGAAAUAUGGUCAUCUUGUCAUAGUAGACGUAAUUGUCUUUAAUUGUGACAUCAUUAAAAAGUUUUACACAAAAUUGAAUGUUUUCUAUUCUAUAGGUUCAUACAAUGAAGCA